ACGUAGGGGACAAGCGUUGUCCGGAAUCACUGGGCGUAAAGGGCGCGCAGGCGGUGAUUUAAGCAGGAUGUGAAAGGCUACGGCUCAACCGUAGACAUGCACCCUGAACUGGGUCACUUGAGUAUUGGAGAGGCAGGCAGAAUUCCUGGUGUAGCGGUGAAAUGCGUAGAUAUCAGGAGGAAUACCGGAGGCGAAGGCGGCCUGCUGGACAAAUACUGACGCUGAGGCGCGAAAGCGUGGGGAGCAAACAG
Molecule: ribosomal RNA, 251 nt
Filed under: uncultured prokaryote
Description: partial 16S rRNA
Rfam family: Bacterial small subunit ribosomal RNA
Source: RNAcentral